This 505-nucleotide long non-coding RNA is filed under the name Androctonus crassicauda. Lineage: Eukaryota; Metazoa; Arthropoda; Arachnida; Scorpiones; Buthidae. The record is from RNAcentral.
CACGAACCAGAUAGACUUACAACAAGAAGUUCAUUACAUCUAUCAAUUAGGAAAACAGCACGGGUAUCAGAUUGGCUUUAUGAAGUCUAUACAAGACAAAGUCAGAAGAACUGUUGACCAUCACUUGCCAGACACAACCAAUGAAAAUAGGAGAGAAGGACAAGACCCCAAAUAUAUCCCAAUACCAUAUAGACUAACCAAGCUUAACUCUGUAAAAAAUAUAUUUAAAAAAACGAAGAAGAAGCCAGCCCAACGCAAAGCAACCACGGUCUUUAAGAAGAUAAGGAGUGAGGAGCCAAAGGGGGAAGAGGGCCAAGGUUUGGGGGAUGUAUAAAAUGCUAGUCGAAAUGGUGGAGCCUAGGGGGGAUACGGAGUGUAUAGGAGUUACUAGCAGAAAUCUAGCAGGGGGACUGCAGGAGCACGGAAGGGACAUUGAAGAGGGCAACACUAGUACGGCGUUGGCCGCGGAGGCGUAUAAGAGGGAUGUGAGUGAACUGGAGUGCGA